CAAAAUGACUCUCGGCAACGGAUAUCUUGGCUCUUGCAUCGAUGAAGAACGUAGCAAAAUGCGAUACUUGGUGUGAAUUGCAGAAUCCCGUGAACCAUCGAGUCUUUGAACGCAAGUUGCGCCCGAAGCCAUUAGGUUGAGGGCACGCCUGCCUGGGUGUCACAC
This 165-nucleotide ribosomal RNA is filed under the name Canavalia bicarinata. RNAcentral describes it as "5.8S ribosomal RNA". It matches the Rfam family "5.8S ribosomal RNA". Rfam says of the family: 5.8S ribosomal RNA (5.8S rRNA) is a component of the large subunit of the eukaryotic ribosome. It is transcribed by RNA polymerase I as part of the 45S precursor that also contains 18S and 28S rRNA. Lineage: Eukaryota; Viridiplantae; Streptophyta; Magnoliopsida; Fabales; Fabaceae. The record is from RNAcentral.